RNAcentral lists this ribosomal RNA (497 nucleotides) under uncultured bacterium. RNAcentral describes it as "partial 16S ribosomal RNA". It matches the Rfam family "Bacterial small subunit ribosomal RNA", at positions 28 to 507 of the family's 1533-position model. The record is from RNAcentral.
GAUGAACGCUGGCGGCGUGCCUAAUACAUGCAAGUCGAGCGAACAGACGAGGAGCUUGCUCCUCUGACGUUAGCGGCGGACGGGUGAGUAACACGUGGAUAACCUACCUAUAAGACUGGGAUAACUUCGGGAAACCGGGGCUAAUACCGGAUAAUAUAUUGAACCGUAUGGUUCAAUAGUGAAAGACGGUUUUGCUGUCACUUAUAGAUGGAUCCGCGCCGCAUUAGCUAGUUGGUAAGGUAACGGCUUACCAAGGUAACGAUGCGUAGCCGACCUGAGAGGGUGAUCGGCCACACUGGAACUGAGACACGGUCCAGACUCCUACGGGAGGCAGCAGUAGGGAAUCUUCCGCAAUGGGCGAAAGCCUGACGGAGCAACGCCGCGUGAGUGAUGAAGGUCUUCGGAUCGUAAAACUCUGUUAUUAGGGAAGAACAAAUGUGUAAGUAACUAUGCACGUCUUGACGGUACCUAAUCAGAAAGCCACGGCUAACUACGUG